This 468-nucleotide ribosomal RNA is filed under the name uncultured bacterium. Its description in RNAcentral is "partial 16S ribosomal RNA". It matches the Rfam family "Bacterial small subunit ribosomal RNA", at positions 28 to 507 of the family's 1533-position model. The record is from RNAcentral.
GACGAACGCUGGCGGCGUGCCUAACACAUGCAAGUCGAACGGAAAGGCCCUGCUUAUGUGGGCUGCUCGAGUGGCGAACGGGUGAGUAACACGUGAGUAACCUGUCAUUGACUUUGGGAUAACCUCAGGAAACUGGGGCUAAUACCGGAUAGGAGCUCUCGCUGCUUGGUGGGCGUUGGAAAGUUUCGGCGGUUGGGGAUGGACUAGCGGCUUAUCGGCUUGUUGGUGGGGUAGUGGCUUACCAAGGCUUUGACCGGUAGCAGGCCUGAGAGGGUGACCGGCCCAGUUAGGCCUGGAAUGCGACACGGCCCCGAACGGGAGGGGAGGGAGGAGAGGGGUAUACAGUGGGAGGGGCGCAAGUGUGACAACGCCACGUGGGGGAAGUCAUGAAUGGGGUAGUAUUGCACAGUCGCUUUAGACGAGACGUUAGUGACGGUACUGGGUGAAGAAGCACCGGCUAACUACGUG